This is a long non-coding RNA of Phyllopteryx taeniolatus (common seadragon), 3795 nucleotides long. RefSeq lists it as uncharacterized. The record is from RefSeq and is a predicted model, not a curated record. The transcript is spliced from 6 exons. Lineage: Eukaryota; Metazoa; Chordata; Actinopteri; Syngnathiformes; Syngnathidae.
ACACCAGCGACAUUACGGUAUCUGCAGGGGCACGCAAAGCAGUGAAAGUUCACGUUUCCGAUGAGCGUGCAGGGAAAUGAUUGCACGAUAAAGUGAAAAUAGCCGAUCAGACCACUUCAGCAUAGCAGAGGAUUACGGUCUGGUAGGGAAAUAGCCACAGGUGUUAUUUUGCUUGAUCGGUUGAAGACCCACUCCAUUUUGAUGGGCUCCUGGCUAACCACAGCGAAGAGGCGCACCAGGCGAAGAUGCUGAAGGUUCUUCAUCACAUUGGCUUCGGCCAGGAAGGCUUCCGUCGACAUUGUGCCGAUCUUCAGACCCUUGAUGGCAACCUUCCGGUCAUUAUUGUAUAAACCUAAAAAGAGGUUGUUACUGUACUUGAAAAUGAAAAACCCUACUGUACAUUCAUAAAACCUACUGUUUAGUCAUGUAUAAAAGAAGACUUGGAGGACAAGGAUGAAUCGCUCAACAGUCGAUCACAGUACAUGAUGUCUCUAAGAGCACCAUGUCUAUCUUGAAAGCUGGAGGUCAAAAACCAGUUGGCCGUGGAACCUCUCGAUGAAGCCAUUCAAUGUCACCGUUUUCAAGAAAAAUACACCACUAAAAUCGUACCGUCAAUCAUCAGGCAUUCAUACGCGGCAAGAUCUCUUUUUAGUGAGCAUCAGUCAAUCUCUGUCUGGGUGUCUUACUUUUGAUUUGACUUUUUUCAUGUCUUUGUUAUGAUACGUUUUCCACAAAAAAGGACACGCCUUAAUGAGGAGUCCGAAGUUGAAUGGAGUGCGUGGAAACCUUCAAAGCGGUAAGACUCGAGUGUCAACCCAUAUACGUUGUUACUUGUUAUUACAGGUAAGGCGGACAUUUUUUUUUUUCAUGUUUUACACAUGAAAAAAAACAAAACAUUUAAGCUUUGCAUGACACAUUUGUCACUGAAGUUAGGACGGAAUGUUUUAUUGUUGUUACCUCUUAAUAAUAACAGUGUUUGACAAUGACAGUUUAGAAUGUUCAAAUUUGACAAAUAGUUGCCUUAACAGUUGAUAAAGAUUUUAUUAUGUGAGACAGUUUGAUCUGGAAUCCAUUAUUUCUAUUUCAGUUACUUUCCUAGGUGAAAAAACAACCCCCCAAAAAACCAAAUGAGGUCGAUGGGUUGGACUUGAAGUAGCUGAAAUAUGAACAAGUCGAAGCGAAGGUCACGUUUUCCGAUAGUUCAUCGCAGGUGGUAUGAGGACAUUUCCAAACAGAGGAAACAGUCUUCCAAUGAAUGAUGCAGGGGCCGUGACUCAUAUUGUGUAAAUACUGUAAUAGCCAUUUAAGCAAAGCUAUUUCGCCGCCGGGUGAACUUGCACAAUGUCUGGUCAUGCUCCUAUUGUUAAUAGAGAAUUCCUUAAAUGCAAUAAAAUCAGCGGAUCAGGUCGAUGAAUGGACUUUGAGUUAUGCUUCAUGACAAGGUUGAUUUCUUGCAUUAUUCUCCAGGUCAAAGAGCUCAAAGUAGCACACCGUUAAGACUCUACUGGGUAAUUCACCCUGACUAAUGCGAGUGCUGACGACUACGUGUGGUCUUGCCCAUACAGCGAUAAAGAACACGGUGGUUGCUCCUCUCACCCAUCCAGACGUCUCCAAACUGGCCGGCACCAAGCUUAUUCACCAGUUUCAGGGACUCCCGGGGGAUCUCCCACUCAUCUUGCCACCAUGGUUUCUGAGGAGCUCUCGACUGGCAUGGCUUCACCAACCGAGCACACAAACCGUCUGCAUCGCCUGGAUGACGGAAAGUGGAUCAGUUGGAGGCAUCGCAACAAUUCACUCGGCACUUUUGGUUGUUUUUUUUCCCAAAGUGUACUAAAUACACAUACGUGUAUGAUGCUGGACGAGCUCCUUCAGUGAAUUAAAAGAUAUCUUGGUCGUAAUGUAGAAACCACCGUUGUCCAAGUUACGGAUCCUGUAGUGCUUCACUUCAUCGCCCGUGUUUUGGUCAAAGUCCCUCAUUGAUAAGGAGAAAGACCCUGAAACAAAUAGGAUGCAAACAUUUACCUUCAAAUCAUGCGGGUAACAUUUGAUUGCCAAUGAACAGUUGAGCUUUUAUGAUUUAUCAUAUUUAUUAUCAUUAUUACAGAUUCGAUUUGGUCUCCACGAAGAAAGCCUGCUUACACUUUUUGUUACCUCCACCGAGCGGAAAAGUGCAGGUACAAAAACGAUAGAAUCGAUUUCCAUCUUGUGGAGUGGCGGUACGGGUCACUGGAGUCGCAUUUGAAACCCAGAGGGCACGGCAUCGUUGGCGGUCUUCUGCACUUUGGGUGGAUUCACAACAUAUGCUAUCCAUUGCUGUACAUACACGGCCCUAAAACGUCUGAAGCACUUCUCUGCUACAAAAUGCUUUCGUUGAUCAGGAACCAAAUCACGCAACGUGGCAAGACCACCAAACUCUCACCGCCAGAGUCGAGGUGCUGCACUGGUCUCACAUCUGGACCCAUAUUUUCCCUUGGCCAUUCAUUUAUGUUUUUCCCCGUUGGGGAUGGCUACUUUGGAUGAAGCUCUAGCAUAGCCCCACCCCCCACCGCCCACCCCCUUUUUGUUUAGUUUUCCUUUUCUUUUCUUUUUUGUGCGUGGAUAUAACGCUUCCUGACUUCAACACUCCCUUUUGAACCUGGCUUGGGACCGGCACUGAGUUGGGCUGGCAAAGGCUGAAGGAGCCCUUCGUGUUCCCGGGAGCGAGCAGGAGCCUCAUGGAAUCGUUUCUCGAAAUGUUCUUAAAGAACCACCUGCAACACACGACAGGCUUCACAUCCCAAAGCAAACAGUCUUUGACGUCUUUUAGGCCGGUGGACUGGCACUGAGGUUGAAUGACACAGCUUUAGGGUCCGCAUCUUUAUCAAUAAAUGGCCUGUGUGACGUACGGUUCGGUCUCCUCUGUUGUCAUUGCAAUGAAGUUGUGUGGCACGAAGCCCUUCUGUCCUGUGGUGAGAGACUCUGCCAAAUACCACUCUGGAUCAUCCCUGACAGUCAAAACACAACAAUAUCAGGAGUUGGCUAAGAUAUGUGCAAAUCGGAGAUAAAUGAAUAUAGAUAUGAGCAUAUAUUUUCCAGGAAUUUCACUUUGUGAAUGGAGGAAAGUGUUUCUUUGUAACUUCAACAAUCGCAGCCCAACUGUCACUGUCACUGUGUAAAGGAGAAUUCGGUUGGACAGAUGCCAAACUACACAAUGGACUCCAGCUAAGGACUCUCGCAUUCUUCCGCUGACUAUUUUUCUAAUGAGUUUCAUCGUACUUUGCAGAAAACACCUCCAAAAAAAACAAACAAAAAAAACUAGUUACCAUUACUGUCACAUUUACUCCAAAAGUGACACAUAAUAAGUUUCAGUAGGCUAUACUCUGUAGCCAGAAUAACCAAUUCUUAAUAGAUAAUACAUUAUUAAGAUGAAUCCAUAUGUACUGAUGACCUAACUAUGCAUUUCAGGUGUACUUAUAUUGUUGCAUUGAUUAAAACAAGCAUCAUAUGUAAUAAUCCUUGCAUGUAUUUUGUGCAAAAUAUUUGUCUGAAAAGUAACUUGUAAAUAAAUACUUAGUUCCAUUCAAGCUACACGUGUGAUAACGUAAGAAAAGGACCGGAAUGUGAAAAAGAGUUUAUUAAUGUAACGUGAAAUUCUAUCUGAGCACUAAAUCACUCCAUGAACAAUGCAGUGUAUAUUGAUUUAUUUUGCCGUUGUAUUGGAGUAUAUUUGAGUCAAACAAAAGGCAGAGGUCAUAAUAGGCGGACCGUUAAAAGCACAGCAACAUCAACCUACAGCAUUUGCUGCGACGGAGUGUG